GUGCUCGCUUCGGUAGCAUAUAUACUAAAAUGGGAACAAUACAGAGAUUAGUAUGGCCCCUGCAUAAGAAAUCAUAUUAAGGGGCUGGGGAGGUAGCAUAAUGGU
Small nuclear RNA from Erinaceus europaeus (western European hedgehog), 105 nucleotides. Lineage: Eukaryota; Metazoa; Chordata; Mammalia; Eulipotyphla; Erinaceidae. The record is from Ensembl.